CAGGAGGAAGGCUCAAGUUUCUCAACCACUGAUGGCACUUCUGACUGCACAGUUGCUGAUGUGACAGAUGGCUUUCACAUUAAACAGAAGAAAGAGCUGACCAAAGAAAUGCUUGGGUACAACACCGAUUGUUCAAUUUUCAGCAUCGACCUCAGCGAAGAUGACUAUGUCCCAGCAUCAUCAGAGGACAGUUCAUCUGAAUCAUCAGAACGCAGUAGUCAGAAGUGACACCGUGUGAAAGAACAUUCAAAACUCCACAAAGUGAGACCAAAGACUUCAUUAGAAUCAAAAAACAGCUCAAAUGGGUUAUCAGGAGCCAAGAUAAAGAAGCAAGGCAGGGAAGCAGGCUUGCGUUCCAGAGAAGAGGAUUCCGAUGAACCAAGACUCAAAAGAGGGACACAUUACAAGAGGAGUGACAAGAGAAGCUUAAGUUCUAGCGAGGAAGAAGAUUCUGUUGAAUCAAGACACAAAACAAAGACGAGAUACAAAAGGAGUGACAAGAGAGGCUCAGGUUCUAGUGAAGAAGAGGAUUCAGGUGAAUCAAGACACACAACAACGAAACGAUACAAAAGGAGUGA
This is a long non-coding RNA of Epinephelus moara (kelp grouper), 578 nucleotides long. RefSeq lists it as uncharacterized. The transcript has 3 exons. Lineage: Eukaryota; Metazoa; Chordata; Actinopteri; Perciformes; Serranidae. The record is from RefSeq and is a predicted model, not a curated record.